ACAUCUGAGUCAAUUCCUCAAAUGCCCCAGACUCCCCCAUAUGACUGCUGCCCUUCAUGUGCUGGGAUAUCUCAAGGGCACUUCUUCUUUGGGUCUCUUUUAUUCUAAUUGCAAUGAUUUCACUGUUAUUGGUUAUUUUGAUAGUGACUGGGCUGCAUGCCCUGAUACAAGGAGGUCUGUUACUGGGUUCUGUAUUACUCUGGGUGGUUGCCUGAUUAGUUGGAAAUCUAAGAAGCAACAUGUGGUUUCUUUAUCUUCUGCUGAGGUUGAAUACAGGGCCCUCAGUAAGGUUGUUGCAGAACUAUCUUGGUUGUCUCGUUUGUUUCAUGAUCUUGGUAUUUCUGUUUUUCUUCCUUUUUCCGUGUAUUGUGACAGUCAGGCUGCCAUUCACAUUGCUAAGAAUCCUGUUUUUCAUGAACGGACCAAACACAUUGAAGUGGAUUGUCACGCUAAGAAUCCUGUUUUUCAUGAACGGACCAAACACAUUGAACUGGAUUGUCACUUUGUACGCGAUCAGCUCCAGAAUUGCCUCAUUCAGCUGUUUCAUGUUUCUACAACUCGUCAGCUAGCUGACAUUAUGACCAAGCCCUUGCCUGGCACAGUGCUUCAUCCCUUAUUGCUCAAGUUGCAGGUGGUCUCCCCCUACAACUUGCGGGGGGGUGUUGAGAUAAGAGAUGUUGAGAUAAGAGAUCAUACCUGACAUACACUUGUAUGGACUUUGUAUAUUCAUUGUAUACUCAUUGUAUAUUUGCGGUAUACUCAUGGUAUACCUUGUAAUGGGCGAUGAUGAUUACUGUGUAUCUGAGCCCACAGGUUACUUAAUUUUGGGCCGGAUCACCCGACCCGACCCGAUAGUGUGUAAGUUGUAUAUAGUAUAUGAGUAGAUAUUUUCACGGACUUGAUUUCAUUUUCAUCACUCUGAUUAAUAAACUCUCUCUCUCUUCUAGAGAGUUCUCAAACGCUCCUCCUUCUCUCUAGAUUCUCUCUCUAAAUUUUCCAUGAUUUUUCGAUUUAAUCUCAACGUUUACAUGGUAUCAGAGCCUAGACGACGAUCCGAUUAUGUUUUUCUACAU
Molecule: long non-coding RNA, 1073 nt
Filed under: Nicotiana benthamiana
Lineage: Eukaryota; Viridiplantae; Streptophyta; Magnoliopsida; Solanales; Solanaceae
Description: long non-coding RNA (NBEN_LNC003193)
Source: RNAcentral